RNAcentral lists this long non-coding RNA (943 nucleotides) under Danio rerio (zebrafish). RNAcentral's name for it is "lncRNA si:dkey-14i9.1 (ENSDARG00000096799.2)". Lineage: Eukaryota; Metazoa; Chordata; Actinopteri; Cypriniformes; Danionidae. The record is from RNAcentral.
ACGCGUUAUCGACACUGCAGCUGGUGAUGAUGAUGGAUCCUCUCCUGAUUCUGUGGCCCUCCUGCAUGGAUGAAUCCUGGAGAACUGUAAAUGAGGACAGGCAUAUGCCAUUUUCAUUGUAGCUGUUUGAAACACAUGCUCAACCUUCAUUGCUGACACCUUGGUGAACUGAUGACUGAUCAUUUCUGAAGAAAUUCAUGGAGGUUUGGAACUUACAUAAGGUGUGUCUGCCAUAAUGUGGGCAGGAAGUGUGCAUCCUGGCUGUGGCUGUAGCUGAUUGUGCUGAUAAUGCACUCAUGAUGAUUUCUGCUGAACACGCUGAUGUGCUUGUCAGAAGGGUCGUCCAUGUUUCUCAGCUUCGGUGGAGGAACAAACACAGCCAGCUCGCUCUCCGUACAAACACAACUAAUUUUAAUCUUGACAAGAGUCUUGGUUUUUAUUCUGCUACACUUUCACUCACUCCCACCCUAACCUCCUCUUUAUCAUUUAAAAUUGAUGCCAACUCCCCAAUGGCCUUUCUUAUGGAAGCAAAGAGACUUUGAAGUUUGGAGGACUCCUCUGAAAAGCCCUCAGGCGUCUCCUUCACAAGGCUACUGCUACCAUACACCACUAGAUCUCAUUUUUUUCUUUUUCUUUUGGCCACUCUGGAUCAUGAGAGAAUUCUCUGCUACUGCAGCACAAUGAAUAGCAAACAAAAGUUGAGAAAGGGCAUGUCAACAAUUUUAGACGAUGGAGGAUUGCGGGAAGAAGUAAUAAAAGCACAUGCAUUUCAUAUACAAUAAAACCCUGGCUUCAAAGCAAAACUUUUAAAUAUUUAAAAGCAUAUGUUUCUGUCUGAAUGUAAACAGAUAUGCUAAAUAUUUUAGUCGAAUGACGCAUUUUGGUUUUCCCUUUUGAGAAGUUUAAUGCAGUUUUCUUGUUAACAGUAAAUAUGCAUUUUGUC